RNAcentral lists this ribosomal RNA (497 nucleotides) under uncultured bacterium. RNAcentral describes it as "partial 16S ribosomal RNA". It matches the Rfam family "Bacterial small subunit ribosomal RNA", at positions 28 to 507 of the family's 1533-position model. The record is from RNAcentral.
GAUGAACGCUGGCGGCGUGCCUAAUACAUGCAAGUCGAGCGAACAGACGAGGAGCUUGCUCCUCUGACGUUAGCGGCGGACGGGUGAGUAACACGUGGAUAACCUACCUAUAAGACUGGGAUAACUUCGGGAAACCGGAGCUAAUACCGGAUAAUAUAUUGAACCGCAUGGUUCAAUAGUGAAAGACGGUUUUGCUGUCACUUAUAGAUGGAUCCGCGCCGCAUUAGCUAGUUGGUAAGGUAACGGCUUACCAAGGCAACGAUGCGUAGCCGACCUGAGAGGGUGAUCGGCCACACUGGAACUGAGACACGGUCCAGACUCCUACGGGAGGCAGCAGUAGGGAAUCUUCCGUAAUGGGCGAAAGCCUGACGGAGCAACGCCGCGUGAGUGAUGAAGGUCUUCGGAUCGUAAAAAUCUGUUAUUAGGGAAGAACAAAUGUGUACGUAACUAUGCACGUCUUGACGGUACCUAAUCAGAAAGCCACGGCUAACUACGUG